RNAcentral lists this ribosomal RNA (1000 nucleotides) under uncultured bacterium. RNAcentral describes it as "bacterial SSU rRNA". It matches the Rfam family "Bacterial small subunit ribosomal RNA", at positions 37 to 1033 of the family's 1533-position model. The record is from RNAcentral.
UGGCGGCAGGCCUAACACAUGCAAGUCGAGCGGUAACAUUUCUAGCUUGCUAGAAGAUGACGAGCGGCGGACGGGUGAGUAAUGCUUGGGAACAUGCCUUGAGGUGGGGUCCUCUCAGAAAAGAAACGACUGCUAAUACCGCAUAAUGUCUACGGACCAAAGGGGGCUUCGGCUCUCGCCUUUAGAUUGGCCCAAGUGGGAUUAGCUAGUUGGUGAGGUAAUGGCUCACCAAGGCGACGAUCCCUAGCUGGUUUGAGAGGAUGAUCAGCCACACUGGGACUGAGACACGGCCCAGACUCCUACGGGAGGCAGCAGUGGGGAAUAUUGCACAAUGGGCGCAAGCCUGAUGCAGCCAUGCCGCGUGUGUGAAGAAGGCCUUCGGGUUGUAAAGCACUUUCAGUCAGGAGGAAAAGUUAGUAGUUAAUACCUGCUAGCUGUGACGUUACUGACAGAAGAAGCACCGGCUAACUCCGUGCCAGCAGCCGCGGUAAUACGGAGGGUGCGAGCGUUGAUCGGAAUUACUGGGCGUAAAGCGUACGCAGGCGGUUUGUUAAGCGAGAUGUGAAAGCCCCGGGCUCAACCUGGGAACUGCAUUUCGAACUGGCAAACUAGAGUGUGAUAGAGGGUGGUAGAAUUUCAGGUGUAGCGGUGAAAUGCGUAGAGAUCUGAAGGAAUACCGAUGGCGAAGGCAGCCACCUGGGUCAACACUGACGCUCAUGUACGAAAGCGUGGGGAGCAAACAGGAUUAGAUACCCUGGUAGUCCACGCCGUAAACGAUGUCUACUAGAAGCUCGGAACCUCGGUUCUGUUUUUCAAAGCUAACGCAUUAAGUAGACCGCCUGGGGAGUACGGCCGCAAGGUUAAAACUCAAAUGAAUUGACGGGGGCCCGCACAAGCGGUGGAGCAUGUGGUUUAAUUCGAUGCAACGCGAAGAACCUUACCUACACUUGACAUACAGAGAACUUACCAGAGAUGGUUUGGUGCCUUCGGGAACUCUGAU